CCGAGACGCUCGGCGACAUUCGGCCGUCGGCGCGGCUCUCCACUGGAGAUUGUUCGGGCGAUUGCCUAAUCGCGUCCCUUAAAAGCAUUUUAAAUAUUAUCACGCAAACAACUAACAAUAUUAUUGUUGUUGUUAACUAUUUGAUUGUAAUACGGAACAAUAUUACUCGGUGGCGUUUUUUCCUCACGUAUCUAUGAUGACAAUGUAAAAAACGAAAUAAUCUUAAGUUCUUGAUGAUAAUCUGUUUGGUAUUGUA
Molecule: non-coding RNA, 256 nt
Organism: Cinara cedri
Lineage: Eukaryota; Metazoa; Arthropoda; Insecta; Hemiptera; Aphididae
Source: the annotation of a GenBank genome assembly